RNAcentral lists this ribosomal RNA (397 nucleotides) under uncultured bacterium. RNAcentral's name for it is "partial 16S ribosomal RNA". It matches the Rfam family "Bacterial small subunit ribosomal RNA", at positions 523 to 918 of the family's 1533-position model. The record is from RNAcentral.
AUACGUAGGGGGCGAGCGUUGUCCGGAAUGAUUGGGCGUAAAGGGCGCGUAGGCGGCCCGGUAAGUCUGGAGUGAAAGUCCUGCUUUUAAGGUGGGAAUUGCUUUGGAUACUGUCGGGCUUGAGUGCAGGAGAGGUAAGUGGAAUUACCAGUGUAGCGGUGAAAUGCGUAGAGAUUGGGAGGAACACCAGUGGCGAAGGCGACUUACUGGACUGUAACUGACGCUGAGGCGCGAAAGUGUGGGGAGCAAACAGGAUUAGAUACCCUGGUAGUCCACACUGUAAACGAUGAAUGCUAGGUGUAGGGGGUAUCGACUCCCUCUGUGCCGCAGUUAACACAAUAAGUAUUCCGCCUGGGGAGUACGGCCGCAAGGUUGAAACUCAAAUGAAUUGGCGGGG